AUUGAACGCUGGCGGAAUGCUUUACACAUGCAAGUCGAACGGCAGCACGGACUUCGGUCUGGUGGCGAGUGGCGAACGGGUGAGUAACAUAUCGGAACGUAUCCAAUAAUGGGGGGAUAACUAAUCGAAAGGUUGGCUAAUACCGCAUACGCCCUGAGGGGGAAAGCUAGGGAUCGUCAAGACCUGGCGUUAAAUGGAGCGGCCGAUAUCUGAUUAGCUAGUUGGUGAGGUAAAGGCCUACCAAGGCGACGAUCGGUAGCUGGUCUGAGAGGAUGAUCAGCCACACUGGGACUGAGACACGGCCCAGACUCCUACGGGAGGCAGCAGUGGGGAAUUUUCGGCAAGUGGGGGAACCCUGACCGAGCAAUGCCGCGUGAAUGAAGACGAUCUUCGGAUUGUAAAGUUCUUGUUAUUGGGAAAGAAAGAUAUGGCGAGGAAAUGCGUUAUAUUUGACGGUACCUGAUGAAGAACGCCCCGGACUAACUAUGUGCCAGCACGCCGUAC
Molecule: ribosomal RNA, 504 nt
Filed under: uncultured bacterium
Lineage: Bacteria
Description: bacterial SSU rRNA
Rfam family: Bacterial small subunit ribosomal RNA
Source: RNAcentral